AUUGAACGCUGGCGGCAUGCCUUACACAUGCAAGUCGAACGGCAGCACGGGUGCUUGCACCUGGUGGCGAGUGGCGAACGGGUGAGUAAUACAUCGGAACAUGUCCUGUAGUGGGGGAUAGCCCGGCGAAAGCCGGAUUAAUACCGCAUACGAUCUACGGAUGAAAGCGGGGGACCUUCGGGCCUCGCGCUAUAGGGUUGGCCGAUGGCUGAUUAGCUAGUUGGUGGGGUAAAGGCCUACCAAGGCGACGCUCAGUAGCUGGUCUGAGAGGACGACCAGCCACACUGGGACUGAGACACGGCCCAGACUCCUACGGGAGGCAGCAGUAGGGAAUUUUGGACAAUGGGCGAAAGCCUGAUCCAGCAAUGCCGCGUGUGUGAAGAAGGCCUUCGGGUUGUAAAGCACUUUUGUCCGGAAAGAAAUCCUUGGCCCUAAUACGGUCGGGGGAUGACGGUACCGAAAGAAUAAGCACCGGCUAACUACGUG
This 486-nucleotide ribosomal RNA is filed under the name uncultured bacterium. RNAcentral describes it as "partial 16S ribosomal RNA". It matches the Rfam family "Bacterial small subunit ribosomal RNA", at positions 30 to 507 of the family's 1533-position model. The record is from RNAcentral.